This is a long non-coding RNA of Esox lucius (northern pike), 1860 nucleotides long. RefSeq lists it as uncharacterized. The transcript is spliced from 3 exons. The record is from RefSeq and is a predicted model, not a curated record. NCBI's taxonomy places the organism in Eukaryota, Metazoa, Chordata, Actinopteri, Esociformes, Esocidae.
GAAGGACACAGAUGACUGGAAAAACAGACAUUUUUUUCGGCCUUCACGUACAGGUCAUGCUCCAGCAGUCUAACAAGCACUCUGUGCACCAAUGAGACAUGCUCAGCGCGGGUAGUCGUGUAUAUCAAGAUGUCAUCGAUAUACACCACCACGCCCUCGCAUAACAUGUCCCUGAACACAUCGUUGAUGAAGGAUUGAAAGACUGAUGGGGCAUUAAUCAAACCGUACGGCAUCACUAAAUACUCAUAGUGGCCGGAGGUGGUGCUAAAGGCUGUCUUCCACUUGUCCCCCUCCCGGAUACGCACCUCCUGAGGUCUAAUUUGGUAAAAAAGCGGGCCCCGUGCAUCUUCUCCACCUCCGUAGAGAUCAGAGGAAGAGGGUAGCGGAACGGGAUGGUGAUCUUGUUCAGUGCCCUGUAUUCGAUGCACGGGAGCAAACCACCCUUCUUCUUUUUCACAAAAAAGAAACUUGAGGAGACCAGUGACUUGGAGGACCUAAUGUACCCCUGUUCCAGCGCCUCCUCAACGUACAAGGCCAUUGCCGCCGUUUCGGUAUGGGACAGUGGAUACACUCGACCCUUAGGGAGCGCGGCUCCGUCAAUGAGGUUUACCGCGCAAUCCCCAGCCUGUGUGGUGGUAAUACAGUGGCCUUAUCCUUGGAAAAAAACGCGGCAAAGUCCCUGUAUUCUGGGGGAAUUGGCAUGGCCAGAGCACUGUCUGGAGCCAAUGGAAACACCCAAACACCUACCUUGACACUUCCGCGACCACCCCGAAAGACCCUGACUAGACCAAGAAAUGACGGGGUCAUGGAGAGACAACCAGGGGAAACCCAACACCACAGGGAACAUGGGAGAGUCGAUGACGUGGAAGGAGAGGGUUUCACUAUGCCGGCCGCCGGUGACCAUGAGGAGAGGGAUAGUGCAUUGGGUGACGAAAUCCAACCCUAGUGGCCGGUUGUCCAAAGCUUUCACAGGUAGGGGGGUGGUAAGGACCUGAAGGAGAAUGUGUGAGCAUAGAGCGAAGGACCCAGCCACGCCCGAGUCUACCAGCGCCGUACACUGGAUGGGAUUUCAAUAUCUUCACGACAAUGGUGGUUGCUUUUUCAACUCUCUCCAGCUGACUGAACUGUCGGAAUCAUAGAGGAGUCCUGAAUCACUAAAUGAAGGGGUACCUCAAACCUGUGGUCCAGAUCAUUCCAGGGCCAAACCAAGCCCAGACCAAUGAGAAACUGCCUUUGGUUCCGAGUAAGAGUGUUGGACACUGAUGAUUCCAGAUUUACCACAGCCAAGGAGAAGUGGGUGACAGACUAUGCCACAUACAAGAGAGUCCAAGGCUAGGCCAUUGUCAUCAGCCAGGACCUGAACUCUAUAAAGGACAGGUAACCAUCUGGACUGACUCAUAGGAACAGGGACAAUUGACUUUGGGACUUUGGGGUCAUAGAGAGGUACAGCACGUACAGUAGUGGAAACACAUCAAAUGUGGGACACUAGAAUGGCUGACAACAUCACAAGAGGGAAGCAGUAACAUCAAUAAGGCUUUAAAUCACUACAGUUUUCACAUGUAACAAGUAGGAAGGUUGGAUGAAUGGAGAGGACCACGCAACACAGCAGAGACUCCAAGAUCCUCCACUGCCCCAGCCAGGAGCCAGUUGCCAGAUCAGAGAGCAGAGGGGAGUUGGACUUUAAUUUCUUCAUAAUUUUUUAUUUUGUAUUUUUUAUUGGGGUCUUAGCAAUUCACUGGAGAUAUUUGUUCAUUAUUAUUAUUCUUUUAGCAAGUUUUGGUCUUUUGUAUUUCGACCAUCCGAGGCCAUGGUCCUCAGUCGGGAAAAGGGUGGCUUGCCCACUCUCAGGUUGGUGGAGAG